UUUCUUUCCUUUCCCUUCGUUUGUUGAUUUUGUUUAUUCGUCAUUGAUUCGUUUAUUUACCAUUAGAUAUGGUAUUAAUCUUUUUCUUAGACUAGUAAGCCCUUUCUGUGCUUAUUUAGACAGUCGAUCUGAAGGAGUAAACUCCAAUCGUGCGUCGGAGCUGACACACACACUUUUUUUUCGGGUGGUCCAUUUUACCCCACAUAUCACAUAUUGACUUAAAAUGUGAUAAAAACAUUGUAGGGGUCAUAACUUGACGGGAAUCAAAAAAAAUUUUUUAAACUAAUUUUUGAUGGGGGCCUUCGUACCCCAGGGGGCCAUAGCACCCCGGUCUCUCCUACAAAUUAAUUUUAUUUUUUAAAAUUUAUAGUCCAAAAUUGAGAAUAUUGCUGUUUCACAACUGAUGAUUUUCCAUUUAAGAAGAACAAAUAUAGGAAUACCAAGCCUGUUCAUAUUGUGUGAGUCCACGACCUAAUCCUUGUAUGUCGCUAUCUGGAAGGAAAUUGUAUUGUGCUUACCUUCAAUAAAAAAAAAUUUUCAAUCAAUUGUAUGCGAUUAUAAUUCAGCGUUGAUGGCAGCAACUAAAAAGACCUUGAAUUGGGUAUCAUUGAGAGGAUCUUGGUUUCACUACAUAAGAAACGGGUUAAAGUCGCAAAUAAAAUAAGUGAUGCCGCAUGGAAGGAUGCCAACAAAGGAAUAACAUUCGAAGGGGGUGAAAAAAAAUCAUUCGUUUCCAUAAACGGUAAAAUCAUGAUACAAUUGAACCAACUCGAAUCUGGAAAGAUUUCAAUGUCCCGUUUCCUUAAAACGGCGAUUGAACCGAUUUUACAAGAGGAAAUCAUUCUGCAAUUGAAUACACCGCAAUAUGCUCAAGACGAUAGAAAAGUGAAAGCUCUUCCGAACAUAAGACUUAUAAUUGGCAACAAUUAAACGUCUACAGAAACUAAUAGCCCUGUAAAAAAAACCGGGAAUUUUAUCAAAUUUUUUUUUCUCUUUGCUUUAAUUUGUUUGUCUAUUAAAAAUUCAUAAAAGAAUAU
Molecule: long non-coding RNA, 1037 nt
Organism: Microplitis mediator
Lineage: Eukaryota; Metazoa; Arthropoda; Insecta; Hymenoptera; Braconidae
Exons: 4
Source: RefSeq, a predicted model, not a curated record